Molecule: long non-coding RNA, 349 nt
Organism: Cyprinus carpio (common carp)
Lineage: Eukaryota; Metazoa; Chordata; Actinopteri; Cypriniformes; Cyprinidae
Source: Ensembl
AUCGCACAUCUGGCUUCAGCCAAUCAGGAUAUUUCUGCUGAUGAUUUUGCACCAUGAUAAGCAAGCCUGGACAUGUUUGAGAACAUGAUGUCAAAUAUAGGAGGGGUUGAAAAGUGUGCAGUGUAAAUCUUAUCGUGUUCAACCAGGCCUGUUUGUUCUGACUGACAUCAUGUCUUAACCCCAGAUGGCUCCACUUCAACCAAGUUCCUCCUCACGCACCUCCUGAGGUUGUAUACAUCUGACACACGCAUGCACGUUCACGCUCCAGUAGAGGAUAGCUGGUGACGAAUUAAUGGUACAGUGAGCUUCUAAUUACCCCUGGAUCACAAUGCUAAGGUGAGGUAGAAAA